Molecule: ribosomal RNA, 429 nt
Filed under: uncultured prokaryote
Description: bacterial SSU rRNA
Rfam family: Bacterial small subunit ribosomal RNA
Source: RNAcentral
UCGAGAAUAGUCUACAAUGGACGAAAGUCUGAUAGUGCGACGCCGCGUGAACGAAGAGACCUUUCGGGGUGUAAAGUUCUUUUCUGUGCGAGCAGGGGUGGUUACAGUAAUAUGGUGAUCAUCUUGAUAUUAGUACAGGAAUAAGCCACGGCUAACUCCGUGCCAGCAGCCGCGGUAACACGGGGGUGGCAAGCGUUGUCCGGAAUUACUGGGCGUAAAGGGCAUGUAGGCGGUUUAGUAAGCUUGGCGUGAAAGACCACAGCUCAACUGUGGGGUUGCGUUGAGAACUGCUGAACUGGAGUUACGGAGAGGGAGCUAGAAUUCCUGGUGUAGGGGUGGAAUCUGUAGAGAUCAGGAGGAAUACCAGUGGCGAAGGCGGCUUUCUGGACUGACCCUGACGCUGAGGUGCGAAAGCGUGGGUAGCAAACA